GAUGAACGCUGGCGGCGUGCCUAAUACAUGCCAGUCGAGCGAACGGACGAGAAGCUUGCUUCUCUGAUGUUAGCGGCGGACGGGUGAGUAACACGUGGAUAACCUACCUAUAAGACUGGGAUAACUUCGGGAAACCUGAGCUAAUGCCGGAUAAUAUUUUGAACCGCAUGGUUCAAAAGUGAAAGACGGUCUUGCUGUCACUUAUAGAUGGAUCCGCGCUGCAUUAGCUAGUUGGUAAGGUAACGGCUUACCAAGGCAACGAUGCAUAGCCGACCUGAGAGGGUGAUCGGCCACACUGGAACUGAGACACGGUCCAGACUCCUACGGGAGGCAGCAGUAGGGAAUCUUGCGCAAUGGGCGAAAGCCUGACGGAGCAACGCCGCGUGAGUGAUGAAGGUCUUCGGAUCGUAAAACUCUGUUAUUAGGGAAGAACAUAUGUGUAAGUAACUGUGCACAUCUUGACGGUACCUAAUCAGAAAGCCACGGCUAACUACGUG
This 497-nucleotide ribosomal RNA is filed under the name uncultured bacterium. RNAcentral describes it as "partial 16S ribosomal RNA". It matches the Rfam family "Bacterial small subunit ribosomal RNA", at positions 28 to 507 of the family's 1533-position model. The record is from RNAcentral.